This 764-nucleotide long non-coding RNA is filed under the name Equus caballus (horse). RNAcentral describes it as "lncRNA (ENSECAG00000052739.1)". The record is from RNAcentral. Lineage: Eukaryota; Metazoa; Chordata; Mammalia; Perissodactyla; Equidae.
AGGGUAUGGAUUUGGCAGGCUGUCGUCAGCUGCGAUUGGAACCCUGAAGAAGGAAAAUUGCGAGCUGAGGUCAGCCAACUAUCAACUUAAGGCAUGAUGUGAAAGUCAGAAUACUACUUGGCAGCUAUUAAGGAGACUCUCAUAUCCUAGAGCCAGAGGGCAGAAUGUGCUGAGAAUGCUACGAAGAUCUGGUUGUAAAAGUGGUAGAGUUACAAAGGAGACCGAAUAUACAGCCCCAGCAAAUCUCCUAUGCUAAAGAAGGAAGAAUAACAGAGUAAUCACUAGAAGAGUUGAAGGUUGAGCUGGAAAUAUGGAGGAAGCCGUAAAGAUGGAAUGGAACUGAUGUUACACAUAUUAUCUUAUUGGACCUCACAACAAUUCCAUGAGCUUGGUAAGAACUCCAAGUCUACCUUGUGAAGAAACCUAGGCUAGUCCAUUGGAAGAUGAGACACCAUGUGAAGUCUGUUGCAGAGACCAGUCAUCCCAGCUGAGGCCCAUUACAUGAACUAGCCUGACAGCCGCCAGACACAUGUGUGAGGACAUCCUAGACCAUCUGGUUUCAGUUUCAACAGAGUCUCUAGCUGAUUGCAGAGAUCAGGCAAGUCAGCCUGGAGCAGAACUGCCCAGCAGAUCCACAGAAUGGCAUCUUAAAUGAAUCCUAAUAUAUGUAAGUUGCAAGAAUAAGGAGAUAUGAAUGAAAUAGUUAGCCGGACGUUUUUGGAUGAAAGGAAGAUUAGCCUUGAGCUAACAUCUGCUGCCAAUCC